GAGUUUGAUCGUGGCUCAGAUUGAACGCUGGCGGCAGGCCUAACACAUGCAAGUCGAGCGGUAGAGAGAAGCUUGCUUCUCUUGAGAGCGGCGGACGGGUGAGUAAUGCCUAGGAAUCUGCCUGGUAGUGGGGGAUAACGCUCGGAAACGGACGCUAAUACCGCAUACGUCCUACGGGAGAAAGCAGGGGACCUUCGGGCCUUGCGCUAUCAGAUGAGCCUAGGUCGGAUUAGCUAGUUGGUGAGGUAAUGGCGUCACCAAGGCGACGAUCCGUAACUGGUCUGAGAGGAUGAUCAGUCACACUGGAACUGAGACACGGUCCAGACUCUACGGGAGGCGAGCAGUGGGGAAUAGUUGGACAAUGGGCGAAAGCCUGAUCCAGCCAUGCCGCGUGUGUGAAGAAGGGUCUUCGGAUUGUAAAGCAC
This 425-nucleotide ribosomal RNA is filed under the name uncultured bacterium. RNAcentral describes it as "bacterial SSU rRNA". It matches the Rfam family "Bacterial small subunit ribosomal RNA", at positions 9 to 433 of the family's 1533-position model. The record is from RNAcentral.